ACGGUUGAGGGAGUUCAGAAAGAUGCCACACAAGGUCGGAAGCAGGAAAAACCCUGGAGGGGUCGGUCUUUUACAAACUUCGGCUGGGGGGUAUUUUAUACCCAACACCAGUCCCCCUACUUUCGAGUUCGGAUUCUGAAUGAAGGAAGCACAGAGAAAUUUUUAGGAUCGAAGUUGCCCCCCUCGAUUUUCGCACUCAGUGGUUGUCAG
Molecule: long non-coding RNA, 210 nt
Filed under: Elaeis guineensis (African oil palm)
Lineage: Eukaryota; Viridiplantae; Streptophyta; Magnoliopsida; Arecales; Arecaceae
Description: long non-coding RNA (EGUI_LNC078271)
Source: RNAcentral